CUCCCUCCCUCCUUCCUUCCUUCCCUCCCUCCCUCCCUCCCUCCCUUCCUUCCUUGCAUCCUUCCCUCCCUCCUGCUUCCUUUCUUUUUUUUUGAGACAGGGCCUUGGAAUGUCAGGCAGGCUGGAGUGCAGUAGCACAAUUUCAGCUCACUGCAGCCUAGAGCUCCUGGGCUCAAGAGAUCCUCCUGUCUCCACCUUCCAGUUGCUGGGAUUUCAGGGAUGUUGUGUUCAGGCAUGUUGUGUUAGGGCCCAUCCAAAUUGAGUGUAACCUUAUCUUAACUUGAUAACAUAUGCAAAGGCCCUAUUUACAAAUAAGAUCACAUUCACAGAAACUGGAGAGUUAUGGCAUGAACAUAUCUUCUGGGGGAUGCAGUUCAACUCAUAACAAUAGCAUAAUGUAAUCAUAUCUUCUGCCAAGUUGUAAUGAUUGUUUAUUAUAAAUCCCUGCUACCCAGUGGUAAGCCUAAGAUCCAGAUAUGAAUGCUAUUCUAUUCCAAGUUCAUAAAUGAGGUACGGUAUGAUAAUGAUAAUCAUUAAGAUUAUUAUUGAUAAUAUUGCUAUUCCUCUCAUUUCUGUUCGUGUGUGAAUAGUGGAAGUCUACAGUAAUAGGGAAACCUGAUUCCCCUCACUUGGCGGUAACUCUCCGAUGAUGGCAUUUUAAAAAAUACAUAUCCUUAUUACUCUUUACAAAACAGAUCUAAAACACCAUUACAGAUUGCACACUUAUCCAUUCACUUCUUUAGUGUAGGGGUGUUCAGUUAAUCUAGAGUUCAGAUUUCUCUUCUAGUCUAAAACUUACUCUAAGUAAAUAGCAAACUCAUGCAUAGACAUCAAUUCUAUAGGGAGUACCAUCAGCAUUUUUAAGGGAUCAAGACUGAAACACACCAUCUCAGCUGGCUUAGGAAGCAAUUGAAUGGGUGUUGGACUCAUCUUUCACAGAAGAAUGACAAAGAUUACAGACAUUCAACUAUCUUCUAGAAGAAGACAAUUUGCUUAAUUUAUUGCCUUGGAAUUUGAGCUCAGGAGUUCAAGACCAGCGUGAGCAACAUGGUGAAACCCAGUCUUUACAAAAAGUUCAAAAAUUAUCCAGGCGUGGUGGUGGGUGCCUGUAGUCCCAGCUACUCUGGAGCCUGAGGCACGAGAAUCGCUUGAAGUGGGGAGGUGGAGGCUGCAGUGAGCAGAGAUUGUGCCACUGCACUCCAGCCUGGGUGACACAGCCAGACCCUGUCUCAAAAUGUAAAAUAAAAUGAAGUAAAUAUGAUUAGUAUGUUUCAGUACUUAAAGAGUGUUCUGAAAAUAUGAGCAAGAAAUAAAAGACUAA
This 1321-nucleotide long non-coding RNA is filed under the name Homo sapiens (human). RNAcentral's name for it is "HSALNT0333461". The record is from RNAcentral. Lineage: Eukaryota; Metazoa; Chordata; Mammalia; Primates; Hominidae.